CAGGGUUAAGGGAGCACAGGCUCUGAUGUCAGACCAUACUGGGAUCCUGCAUGUGGGGUUGCUGCCAUUUCGUAGGGAGCCUCUCUUGAGAAUCCAGGGGGUGACUGUGCUGUCUGGGGGUGAUACUCAGGUAAUGCCUCUGGAAAGGAACACCUUGAUUUCCUGGAGUUUGGCUUAGGAGAAGCAGUUUGCCGCAGCCAGCCUGUGCAGAGGAGAGAGCAGGAAACCAACAGACAGGAGAGAGAAAAGUGUAAAACUCAAAGAUGUGAGUUUCCAGACUGAAAGAGACUACCAAGAAGGAAUUUUCUUUCUAGGAAUAAGAAAAAUCUCACCAAAGCACGGAGAAGAAAUAGACCAUAUGUGGCAACCAGCAGUCAAACUGAAGUUAACACAUGAUGGAGCAAUGCUUUCCAGCUUGAGAAAAAUAUUUCCACUGUACAGUUCGAUACUCAGCCAAACACGAGUCAAAGAGGAGAAAAGACUUGCUAGCUCAGCAGGAUAACUCGUCCAGUGUUUGAAGCCGGAGAUGAAGCUUCCCCUUUAGAGGCCAAACAUCUUUCCAAUCCAAGGACUCCUUUAGACCCUUGUCGUCGUCAGUUUUCUGUUGCUUUAACAAAACAUCUGAGACCAGGUAACUUAUAAAAAGUAGAAGCUGAUU
Molecule: long non-coding RNA, 658 nt
Filed under: Fukomys damarensis (Damara mole-rat)
Lineage: Eukaryota; Metazoa; Chordata; Mammalia; Rodentia; Bathyergidae
Description: lncRNA (ENSFDAG00000032669.1)
Source: RNAcentral